UACGUAGGUGGCAAGCGUUAUCCGGAUUUACUGGGUGUAAAGGGCGUGUAGGCGGUUCUGCAAGUCGGGUGUGAAAUUUCCGGGCUUAACCCGGACGGGUCACCCGAAACUGCGGAACUUGAGUACUGGAGAGGAUAGUGGAAUUCCUAGUGUAGCGGUAAAAUGCGUAGAUAUUAGGAGGAACACCAGUGGCGAAGGCGGCUAUCUGGACAGUAACUGACGCUGAGGCGCGAAAGCGUGGGGAGCAAACAGGAUUAGAUACCCGCGUAGUCCCUGAGCGGGCUGG
This 286-nucleotide ribosomal RNA is filed under the name uncultured prokaryote. RNAcentral describes it as "partial 16S ribosomal RNA". It matches the Rfam family "Bacterial small subunit ribosomal RNA", at positions 524 to 819 of the family's 1533-position model. The record is from RNAcentral.